This 912-nucleotide ribosomal RNA is filed under the name Heterocope septentrionalis. RNAcentral describes it as "partial large subunit ribosomal RNA". It matches the Rfam family "Eukaryotic large subunit ribosomal RNA", at positions 1 to 817 of the family's 3401-position model. The record is from RNAcentral. Lineage: Eukaryota; Metazoa; Arthropoda; Copepoda; Calanoida; Temoridae.
UCGACCUGACAUCAAGGGAGACUACCCGCCGAAUUUAAGCAUAUUAAUAAGCGGAGGAAAAGAAAACAACUGUGAUUCCCUUAGUAACGGCGAGUGAAACGGGAACAGCCCAUCGCCGAACUGCUGGUCAUCCAGGCCAUGCGGAAUGUGGCGUUUGGAAGGGUCUCUUCCAAGGCUCGGACGCCUGUCAAAGUCCAACUUGACAGUGGCCACAGCCCAUAGAGGGUGAUAGGCCCGUAAGGCGGUUGUCCGGCUUUGCUGACCUCUUCCCAGAGUCGGGUUGCUUGAGAGUGCAGCCCAAAGUGCGAGGUAAACUCCUCGUAAGGCUAAAUAUGACCCCAAGACCGAUAGAAAACAAGUACAGUGAUGGAAAUUUGAAAAGAACUUUGAAGAGAGAGUUAAGAGUACGUGAAACUGUGCGGCAGUAAACGAAGCCUUCCUCGAAGUUUUCCCGGUGGACCCAACCUAGCCGCUGGGUAGCUCUUGUCGUUCGAUCAGCAAUGACGGGCGGCGGGAUGCUUACUCGGUGGACGGGUGCAUCUCCACUGGGUUUGACGGUAGGAACUGUUGCGACUGGACCUAAGGCCUGGGAUGAAGUUUUCGCCUCGGCGUCAGCUCCCGGUGUCCUGGCUCUGGAUGCGACAGGCCAUGUGGCCAACUUGUACAGCAAGCAACCCUUCUGUUGCGGUUGGCCGUUCUCUACCGAGUAGGUCGGCGGAGGCUUCGACCCGUCUUGAAACACGGACCAAGGAGUCUAACAUGUAUACGAGUCGUUGGGUUGACUAAACCCUGAGGCGCAGUGAAAGCAAAGAGCUGCUUGCAGCUCGAGGGACGAGGCCUAACCGCUGCAGUCCCGCCAUUUCCAAUCAUCCUCGUAUGUUGGGAAUAGGCAGAGUAUAGAUGUUGGGACCC